This 253-nucleotide ribosomal RNA is filed under the name uncultured bacterium. RNAcentral's name for it is "partial 16S ribosomal RNA". It matches the Rfam family "Bacterial small subunit ribosomal RNA", at positions 524 to 776 of the family's 1533-position model. The record is from RNAcentral.
UACAGAGACUGCAAGCGUUAUUCGGAUUCACUGGGCGUAAAGGGUGCGCAGGCGGCCGGGUGUGUCAGAUGUGAAAUCCCGAGGCUCAACCUCGGAACUGCGUCUGAAACUACUCGGCUAGAGUACUGGAGAGGGAAACGGAAUUCACGGUGUAGCAGUGAAAUGCGUAGAUAUCGUGAGGAACACCAGAGGCGAAGGCGGUUUCCUGGACAGUUACUGACGCUCAGGCACGAAAGCGUGGGGAGCAAAAGGG